AUGCCAGUGAUGCCUCGCUUCUACUCCACUACGCCCAUGCCCCGCCUCCUCCGCCGCCUCUCCUCCACCUCCACCUCCACCUCGGGGCCCUCACGCUGCUGGGAUCCCAGCGCCGCCCUCGCCGCGGCCACAGAGCGGGUCCGCGCCGGGACGCUCAGCCCGGCAGACGCACGCCACCUGUUCGACGAAUUGCUGCAGCGGCCAACCCCGGUCCCUGGUCAAGCCCUGAACGGCUUCCUCGCCGCCCUUGCCCGCGCUCCGGCCUCCGCCGCCUGCGGAGACAGCCCCGCCCUCGCCGUGUCUCUCUUCAACCGCCUGUGCCGAGAAGCCAGCCCGCAUGCGUCGCCUCUUACAGUCCACACCUACAGCAUCCUCAUGGACUGCUGCUGCCGCGCGCGUCGCCCUGACCUGGGGCUUGCCUUCUUCGGCCGCCUCCUCAGGACGGGCCUGAGGACAGACGGCGUCGACGCAUACGCCCUCAUCAAGUGCUUCUGCCUCGCAAAACGGACAGACGAGGCUGUCAGCGUGCUGCUCCAUAGGUUGUCUGAACUCGGCUGUGUGCCUGAUGCCUUAUCAUACUCCGUCGUUCUGAAGGUCUUAUGCGAUGAUAGCAGGAGCCAGCGAGCGCUCGACCUGCUCCGGAUGAUGUCGAAAGAAGGAGGUGUCUGCGCCCCCAACGUGGUGCCAUAUAGCACGGUCAUCCACGGCUUCUGCAAGGAAGGCAAAGUAAGCAAGGCAUGCGAUCUGUUCAACAAAAUGGGGCAGCAAGGAGUUAAGCCUAAUGUGGUGACAUAUACCUCGAUAAUUGAUGCGCUGUGCAAGGCCAGAGCAAUGGACAAGGCAGAGUCAUUCCUUCGGCAUAUGGUCGAUAAUGAUGUUCGACCCAACAACGUGACAUAUAAGUGUAUCAUCCAGGGAUAUUCCUCUUUGGGCUUGUGGAAUGAGGCAGUAAAAAUAUUCAGAGAAAUGACAAGCCGGGGUCUUAUGCUAGAUGAUGUUACUCGCAACUCAUUCGUGGCCUCCCUUUGCAACCAUGGAAGAAGCAAGGAAGCUGCGGAGAUUGCCCAUCAGAUGAUUGAAAGUGAAACUACAGUGAGCAAC
RNAcentral lists this ribosomal RNA (1101 nucleotides) under Triticum aestivum (bread wheat). RNAcentral describes it as "partial small subunit ribosomal RNA". The record is from RNAcentral. Lineage: Eukaryota; Viridiplantae; Streptophyta; Magnoliopsida; Poales; Poaceae.